UACCAGCUCUCCGAGUGGUGGGGAUGCUUAUUGGGCCUAAAGCAUUCGUAGCCUGCUUGACAAGUCCUCCGUUAAAUCCAACGAUUCAAUCGUUGGGCUGCGGGGGAUACUGUCCGGCUAGGGGGCGGGAGAGGCCGACGGUAUCCUCGGGGUAGGGGUGAAAUCCUAUAAUCCCGGGAGGACCACCAGUGGCGAAGGCUGUCGGCUAGAACGCGCUCGACGGUGAGGGAUGAAAGCUGGGGGAGCGAACCGGAUUAGAUACCCGGGUAGUCCCAGCUGUAAACGAUGCAGGCUAGGUGUUGGCGCGGCUACGUGCCGCUCCAGUGCCGCAGGGAAGCCGUUAAGCCUGCCGCCUGGGAAGUACGGCCGCAAGGCUUAAACUUAAAGGAAUUGGCGGGGAGCACCACAAGGUGUGAAGCUUGCGGUUU
Molecule: ribosomal RNA, 428 nt
Filed under: uncultured archaeon
Lineage: Archaea
Description: bacterial SSU rRNA
Rfam family: Archaeal small subunit ribosomal RNA
Source: RNAcentral